RNAcentral lists this unclassified non-coding RNA (433 nucleotides) under soil metagenome. Its description in RNAcentral is "partial contains 5.8S ribosomal RNA, internal transcribed spacer 2, and large subunit ribosomal RNA". The stretch from base 1 to 120 matches the Rfam family "5.8S ribosomal RNA", at positions 35 to 154 of the family's 154-position model. The record is from RNAcentral.
GAUGAAGAACGUAGCGAAAUGCGAUACGUAAUGUGAAUUGCAGAAUUCAGUGAAUCAUCGAAUCUUUGAACGCAUAUUGCGCUCUCUGGUAUUCCGGAGAGCAUGCUUGUUUGAGUAUCAGUAAACACCUCAACUUCCAUAUCUUUUUUGAAAUGGUAGUUGGACUUGAGUGAUCCCAACGCUUUUCCUCACCGAAAAGUGGCGGUUUACUUGAAAUGCAGGUGCAGCUGGACUUUUAUCUGAGCUAUAAGCAUAUCUAUUUAGUCUGCCUAAAAAACAGAUUAUUACCUUUGCUGCAGCUAACAUAAAGGAGAUUAGUUCUUGUGCUGACUGAUGCAGGAUUCACAAAGACAGGCUUCGGCCGACUUUGUAAACUCGAUCUCAAAUCAAGUAAGACUACCCGCUGAACUUAAGCAUAUCAAUAAGCGGAGGA